This 363-nucleotide ribosomal RNA is filed under the name Triticum aestivum (bread wheat). RNAcentral's name for it is "partial small subunit ribosomal RNA". The record is from RNAcentral. Lineage: Eukaryota; Viridiplantae; Streptophyta; Magnoliopsida; Poales; Poaceae.
AUGCAUGAGUGGCCAGGGGCUCACACGGAGCAGCAAGCAAAAAGCAGUAGCAGUCAAUUGAGCAGCAGCGACGGCGGCAACAUAGCAAGAAGAAAGCAGCCGGCGGCAAGCAGUAGCAUUAGAGAGCAGCAGCAGCAUGUAGCAGCGGCGGCAGCAGUGGGAGGCUUCAGCAGAGAGCAGCAGCACUACCAGCGGCUGCACACAGGGGAGAGCGGACGGGCGCGGCCAGCAUGCUGGCCGGGCGUAGCGGGCGCGCACGCGCACGCGCGUGGCACGACCAGUGUGUGGGGUUGGGCGCCCACGCGAGCAGAGCUCCGGCCGCAGCCACGGCGGAGCGUCGGACGCGGUGGAACCAGCGGCUAA